AAAAUCCGGAAAAUCAAGGCUGAGGCGUGAUGACGAGGCACUACGGUGCUGAAGCAACAAAUGCCCUGCUUCCAGGAAAAGCCUCUAAGCAUCAGGUAACAUCAAAUCGUACCCCAAACCGACACAGGUGGUCAGGUAGAGAAUACCAAGGCGCUUGAGAGAACUCGGGUGAAGGAACUAGGCAAAAUGGUGCCGUAACUUCGGGAGAAGGCACGCUGAUAUGUAGGUGAGGUCCCUCGCGGAUGGAGCUGAAAUCAGUCGAAGAUACCAGCUGGCUGCAACUGUUUAUUAAAAACACAGCACUGUGCAAACACGAAAGUGGACGUAUACGGUGUGACGCCUCCCCGGUGCCGGAAGGUUAAUUGAUGGGGUUAGCGCAAGCGAAGCUCUUGAUCGAAGCCCCGGUAAACGGCGGCCGUAACAAUAACGGUCCUAAGGUAGCGAAAUUCCUUGUCGGGUAAGUUCCGACCUGCACGAAUGGCGUAAUGAUGGCCAGGCUGUCUCCACCCGAGACUCAGUGAAAUUGAACUCGCUGUGAAGAUGCAGUGUACCCGCGGCAAGACGGAAAGACCCCGUGAACCUUUACUAUAGCUUGACACUGAACAUUGAGCCUUGAUGUGUAGGAUAGGUGGGAGGCUUUGAAGUGUGGACGCCAGUCUGCAUGGAGCCGACCUUGAAAUACCACCCUUUAAUGUUUGAUGUUCUAACGUUGACCCGUAAUCCGGGUUGCGGACAGUGUCUGGUGGGUAGUUUGACUGGGGCGGUCUCCUCCUAAAGAGUAACGGAGGAGCACGAAGGUUGGCUAAUCCUGGUCGGACAUCAGGAGGUUAGUGCAAUGGCAUAAGCCAGCUUGACUGCGAGCGUGACGGCGCGAGCAGGUGCGAAAGCAGGUCAUAGUGAUCCGGUGGUUCUGAAUGGAAGGGCCAUCGCUCAACGGAUAAAAGGUACUCCGGGGAUAACAGGCUGAUACCGCCCAAGAGUUCAUAUCGACGGCGGUGUUUGGCACCUCGAUGUCGGCUCAUCACAUCCUGGGGCUGAAGUAGGUCCCAAGGGUAUGGCUGUUCGCCAUUUAAAGUGGUACGCGAGCUGGGUUUAGAACGUCGUGAGACAGUUCGGUCCCUAUCUGCCGUGGGCGCUGGAGAACUGAGGGGGGCUGCUCCUAGUACGAGAGGACCGGAGUGGACGCAUCACUGGUGUUCGGGUUGUCAUGCCAAUGGCACUGCCCGGUAGCUAAAUGCGGAAGAGAUAAGUGCUGAAAGCAUCUAAGCACGAAACUUGCCCCGAGAUGAGUUCUCCCUGACCCUUUAAGGGUCCUGAAGGAACGUUGAAGACGACGACGUUGAUAGGCCGGGUGUGUAAGCGCAGCGAUGCGUUGAGCUAACCGGUACUAAUGAACCGCGAGGCUUAACC
Molecule: ribosomal RNA, 1410 nt
Filed under: metagenome
Description: bacterial LSU rRNA
Rfam family: Bacterial large subunit ribosomal RNA
Source: RNAcentral